UACUCCUACGGGAGGCAGCAGUAGGGAAUCUUCGGCAAUGGACGGAAGUCUGACCGAGCAACACCGCGUGAGUGAAGAAGGUUUUCGGAUCGUAAAGCUCUGUUGUAAGAGAAGAACGAGUGUGAGAGUGGAAAGUUCACACUGUGACGGUAUCUUACCAGAAAGGGACGGCUAACUACGUGCCAGCAGCCGCGGUAAUACGUAGGUCCCGAGCGUUGUCCGGAUUUAUUGGGCGUAAAGCGAGCGCAGGCGGUUAGAUAAGUCUGAAGUUAAAGGCUGUGGCUUAACCAUAGUACGCUUUGGAAACUGUUUAACUUGAGUGCAAGAGGGGAGAGUGGAAUUCCAUGUGUAGCGGUGAAAUGCGUAGAUAUAUGGAGGAACACCGGUGGCGAAAGCGGCUCUCUGGCUUGUAACUGACGCUGAGGCUCGAAAGCGUGGGGAGCAAACAGGAUUAGAUACCCUGGUAGUCCACGCCGUAAACGAUGAGUGCUAGGUGUUAGACCCUUUCCGGGGUUUAGUGCCGUAGCUAACGCAUUAAGCACUCCGCCUGGGGAGUACGACCGCAAGGUUGAAACUCAAAGGAAUUGACGGA
RNAcentral lists this ribosomal RNA (592 nucleotides) under uncultured bacterium. Its description in RNAcentral is "bacterial SSU rRNA". It matches the Rfam family "Bacterial small subunit ribosomal RNA", at positions 334 to 917 of the family's 1533-position model. The record is from RNAcentral.